RNAcentral lists this ribosomal RNA (388 nucleotides) under uncultured methanogenic archaeon. RNAcentral's name for it is "bacterial SSU rRNA". It matches the Rfam family "Archaeal small subunit ribosomal RNA", at positions 88 to 476 of the family's 1478-position model. The record is from RNAcentral. Lineage: Archaea; Methanobacteriati; Methanobacteriota.
GCUCAGUAACACGUGGAUAACAUGCCCUAGAGUGGAGGAUAAUCUCGGGAAAUUGAGGAUAAUACUCCAUAGAUCAUGAAUUCUGGAACGACUCAUGGUCGAAAAGUUCCGGCGCUCUAGGAUUGGUCUGCGGCCUAUCAGGUAGUAGUGGGUGUAACGGACCCACUAGCCGACGACGGGUAUGGGCCUUGAGAGAGGGAGCCCAGAGAUGGAAUCUGAGACACGAUUCCAGGCCCUACGGGGUGCAGCAGGCGCGAAACCUCCGCAAUGUGAGAAAUCGCGACGGGGGGAUCCCAAGUGCCAUUCUUAACGGGAUGGCUUUUCAUUAGUGUAAAGAGCUUUUGGAAUAAGAGCUGGGCAAGACCGGUGCCAGCCGCCGCGGUAACAC